This is a long non-coding RNA of Vitis riparia (riverbank grape), 582 nucleotides long. RefSeq lists it as uncharacterized. The transcript has 2 exons. The record is from RefSeq and is a predicted model, not a curated record. NCBI's taxonomy places the organism in Eukaryota, Viridiplantae, Streptophyta, Magnoliopsida, Vitales, Vitaceae.
AAGGAAAUAGAGAGAGGGGGAGAUUGCCGACCGGAGAGAGGUGUGAGUGGCGGCCGGUUGCAGUGGGGAGGGAGGAAGAGACAGAUGCUGACAAAGGGAAUCAUUUCACGUGGCCCUCCUCUAAAGUCUCACCCGCUCUGUAAUAAAUUCCAAGAAGAUUAGGGUUUCGUGGAAAUAUCUCAAGCGAAUCAGGCUCAGUGUGGCCGAUGCAGCAAACUCUCAAAUCUCAGUUAUAUCCGGAGGUAUGGAAUCUCAUAACUCCUAUUUUUUGAGCUUUAGUUCUGGAUUAUGUCAUGUGAUGCUUAAGAUGGCUGUGAGAUUUGAACGGCUUGUAACUCAAGGAGAUGAUGCAGAGUUGGGUAAGGCUGCUUUUCUGUUGGGAGGAAGGCAAGAUAACGAUACCAAACGUGAGUUAUGACUGUUAAUUGGCUUAGGAGGUCUUGGGAAUAUAUGUUUUUUCUGUGCAUCUCUUUUUUCUUAGAUGAUGUAUGGAAUGAAAUUAGGGUUUAUAUUUCAUUCCUUCAUUAUUAGGUUAAAAGAAGGGCACAAGGAAGUAAAAUUAUAUUUUUUAAAAUUUUAAAA